This 431-nucleotide ribosomal RNA is filed under the name uncultured bacterium. RNAcentral describes it as "bacterial SSU rRNA". It matches the Rfam family "Bacterial small subunit ribosomal RNA", at positions 958 to 1392 of the family's 1533-position model. The record is from RNAcentral.
AACGCGAAGAACCUUACCAAGGCUUGACAUAUACAGGAAUAUGGCAGAGAUGUCAUAGCCGCAAGGUCUGUAUACAGGUGGUGCAUGGUUGUCGUCAGCUCGUGUCGUGAGACGUUGGGUUAAGUCCCGCAACGAGCGCAACCCUCGUCCUGUGUUGCCAGCAUUUAGUUGGGGACUCACAGGAGACUGCCGGGGUUAACCCGGAGGAAGGUGGGGAUGACGUCAAAUCAUCAUGCCCCUUAUGUCUUGGGCUGCACGCAUGCUACAAUGGCUGGUACAAACGGCUGCGAUACCGCAAGGUGGAGCGAAUCCGAUAAAGCCAGUCUCAGUUCGGAUUGGGGUCUGCAACUCGACCCCAUGAAGUCGGAGUUGCUAGUAAUCGUAGAUCAGCAACGCUAUCGGUGAAUACGUUCCCGGGUCUGUACACACCG